RNAcentral lists this long non-coding RNA (234 nucleotides) under Elaeis guineensis (African oil palm). RNAcentral's name for it is "long non-coding RNA (EGUI_LNC060386)". Lineage: Eukaryota; Viridiplantae; Streptophyta; Magnoliopsida; Arecales; Arecaceae. The record is from RNAcentral.
CCGAAAGGCCCACAGCCUUUCAACCUAGGGCCCAACUAGCCCUAGAGUCUCCAUGAAGCCCUCAUGAAUGAUGGACCUUGACCUUAGCCUUGGUCCCUUGGGCCUUGGGCACACCACCUGGAUCAUAACAAUCUCCACCUUAGUGUCCCAAGGCCUCAACCAGCUCCACUCUGUCCUUGCGACUGUAGACCCAUUUGCAGCCAAUGGGCCUCUUCCCCUGUGGCAACUGCACCA